UGUGCAAUCCAAUUAUUAGUUUAGGCUUUUAGUUAAGAUGGAGCACAUGCUUCAAUUUGGUAUCAGAGCCAGACCAAAGGUAAUGGGUUUGAAUCUCUACCUUUUUUGCCUUUUGGA
Long non-coding RNA from Ipomoea nil (Japanese morning glory), 117 nucleotides. RefSeq lists it as uncharacterized. NCBI's taxonomy places the organism in Eukaryota, Viridiplantae, Streptophyta, Magnoliopsida, Solanales, Convolvulaceae. The record is from RefSeq and is a predicted model, not a curated record. The transcript has 3 exons.